CCUACGGGAGGCAGCAGUGGGGGAUAUUGGACAAUGGGGGGAACCCUGAUCCAGCGACGCCGCGUGAGUGAAGAAGUAUUUCGGUAUGUAAAGCUCUGUCAGCAGGGAAGAAAGAAAUGACGGUACCUGACCAAGAAGCCCCGGCUAACUACGUGCCAGCAGCCGCGGUAAUACGUAGGGGGCAAGCGUUAUCCGGAAUUACUGGGUGUAAAGGGAGCGUAGACGGUUAAGUAAGUCUGGAGUGAAAGGCCGGGGCCCAACCCCGGGACUGCUCUGGAAACUAUUGAACUUGAGUGCAGGAGAGGUAAGCGGAAUUCCUAGUGUAGCGGUGAAAUGCGUAGAUAUUAGGAGGAACAACAGUGGCGAAGGCGGCUUACUGGACUGCAACUGACGUUGAGGCUCGAAAGCGUGGGGAGCAAACAGGAUUAGAUACCCCAGUAGUC
RNAcentral lists this ribosomal RNA (443 nucleotides) under uncultured bacterium. Its description in RNAcentral is "partial 16S ribosomal RNA". It matches the Rfam family "Bacterial small subunit ribosomal RNA", at positions 338 to 795 of the family's 1533-position model. The record is from RNAcentral.